Molecule: ribosomal RNA, 106 nt
Organism: Cricetulus griseus (Chinese hamster)
Lineage: Eukaryota; Metazoa; Chordata; Mammalia; Rodentia; Cricetidae
Source: Ensembl
GUCUACGACCAUACCACCUGAAUGCGCCCGAUCUUGGAAGCUAAGCAGGGUCGGGUCUGGUUAGUACUUGGAUGGGAGAUUAGUAGACAGAGCAGGAGAGUAAAAA